GACUGCUAAUACCGCAUAACGUCUACGGACCAAAGGGGGCUUCGGCUCUCGCCCUUAGAUUAGCCCAAGUGGGAUUAGCUAGUUGGUGAGGUAAUGGCUCACCAAGGCGACGAUCCCUAGCUGGUUUGAGAGGAUGAUCAGCCACACUGGAACUGAGACACGGUCCAGACUCCUACGGGAGGCAGCAGUGGGGAAUAUUGCACAAUGGGCGCAAGCCUGAUGCAGCCAUGCCGCGUGUGUGAAGAAGGCCUUAGGGUUGUAAAGCACUUUCAGUAAGGAGGAAAGGUUAGUAGUUAAUACCUGCUAGCUGUGACGUUACUUACAUAAUAAGCACCGGCUAACUCCGUGCCAGCAGCCGCGGUAAUACGGAGGGUGCGAGCGUUAAUCGGAAUUACUGGGCGUAAAGCGUACGCAGGCGGUUUUGUUAAGCGAGAUGUGAAAGCCCCGGGCUCAACCUGGGGAACUGCAUUUUCAAACUGGCAAACUAGAGUAUGAUAGAGGGUGGUAGAAUUUCAGGUGUAGCGGUUGAAAUUGCG
This 536-nucleotide ribosomal RNA is filed under the name uncultured Pseudoalteromonas sp. Its description in RNAcentral is "bacterial SSU rRNA". It matches the Rfam family "Bacterial small subunit ribosomal RNA", at positions 158 to 690 of the family's 1533-position model. The record is from RNAcentral. Lineage: Bacteria; Pseudomonadati; Pseudomonadota; Gammaproteobacteria; Alteromonadales; Pseudoalteromonadaceae.